Molecule: non-coding RNA, 107 nt
Filed under: pig gut metagenome
Description: FMN riboswitch (RFN element)
Rfam family: FMN riboswitch aptamer (RFN element)
About the family: The RFN element is a highly conserved domain that is found frequently in the 5'-untranslated regions of prokaryotic mRNAs that encode for flavin mononucleotide (FMN) biosynthesis and transport proteins. This element is a metabolite-dependent riboswitch that directly binds FMN in the absence of proteins.
Source: RNAcentral
AAUCUUCGGGGCAGGGUGCAAUUCCCGAUCGGCGGUAAAGUCCGCGAGCGUAUAGCAGAUCCGGUGUGAUUCCGGGACCGGCAGUAAAGUCUGAAUGAAAGAAGAUA